AACGUAGGAGGCGAGCGUUAUCCGGAUUUACUGGGCGUAAAGCGCGUGCAGGCGGUUUGGUAAGUCGUGCGUGAAAGCUCCCAGGCUCAACCGGGAGAGGUCGUGCGAGACUGCCAGACUAGAAGUAGAGAGAGGCCAGUAGAAUUCCGGGUGUAGUGGUGAAAUGCGUAGAGAUCCGGAGGAAUACCAGAGGCGAAGGCGGCUGGCUGGCUCUAACUUGACGCUCAGACGCGAAAGCAUGGGGAGCGAACGGG
This 254-nucleotide ribosomal RNA is filed under the name uncultured bacterium. RNAcentral describes it as "partial 16S ribosomal RNA". It matches the Rfam family "Bacterial small subunit ribosomal RNA", at positions 524 to 776 of the family's 1533-position model. The record is from RNAcentral.